RNAcentral lists this small RNA (109 nucleotides) under Arabidopsis thaliana (thale cress). RNAcentral describes it as "ATSL179700". The record is from RNAcentral. Lineage: Eukaryota; Viridiplantae; Streptophyta; Magnoliopsida; Brassicales; Brassicaceae.
AUGUUUAAAUCCAAAGUUUUGAUGUAAUAUGUGCAUUAGUGCUGGUAUGAUGAUCGCAUUCAAAUUUAACAUCGGCAAAAACCAAAAAGUAGAACUAAAAUUUGGUUUC